CAGUCGCCGCGGUAAUACGAGGGGUGCAAGCGUUAUUCGGAUUGAUUGGGUGUAAGGGGUGUGCAGACGGCUUAUUAAGUCACUUGUUAAAUUCUUCGGCCUAACUGAAGGUCUGCAAGUGAUACUGAUGAGCUAGAGGGUGGAAGAGAGAAGUGGAAUUCUCGGAGUAGCGGUAAAAUGCGUAGAUCUCGAGAGGAACACCAAUGGCGAAGGCAGCUUCUUGGUCCAUUCCUGACGUUCAUACACGAAAGCGUGGGGAGCAAACAGGAUUAGAUACCCCUGUAGUCCCUGUCUCUUAUAC
Molecule: ribosomal RNA, 301 nt
Filed under: uncultured bacterium
Lineage: Bacteria
Description: partial 16S ribosomal RNA
Rfam family: Bacterial small subunit ribosomal RNA
Source: RNAcentral